Molecule: long non-coding RNA, 2340 nt
Filed under: Canis lupus familiaris (dog)
Lineage: Eukaryota; Metazoa; Chordata; Mammalia; Carnivora; Canidae
Description: lncRNA (ENSCAFG00845027683.1)
Source: RNAcentral
GAAGGCUGAUUCAAAGGUGGAACCAAGAUAUACAGAUCAUACCCUCAAAAAAUCAUUCUCACGCAGCAAGACUGGACUGGCAGCAUGUGACCCGCUGGAUUUCAGAACUGCUAUGGAUCAGUAACUUGCAUGUGCCUCCUAGUUCUCCUUCCCUGCUUUGAAUGUGAGUGUGCACAGCCAUUCUCUCAACCCUGCACAUCACUAUCUAUUGAGCAGUGAACAUGGGUGGGGCAGUAACUGAUCUCUUUAGUUCACAGGCCUUCAGAUUAAGAAAAACCAUUUUCAAGGAACUGCCCUCUGGGAAACCCCAUCCAUGUGUGGAUCUGAUUUCAAUGACAAAAUCCUGACCUUUACACAAAUGCUACAGUGGGAAAAGUCUUUGGGGGCCUUGGGACGGAAUGAGAGUAUUUUUCAUUUGGGAAGAAUAUAAUUAGUUUGUUACUAGAGGGCAAACUGUGGUUGAUUAAAGAUGUCUGAAAUUCCUUUGCUACUCCUCCCUUUCAGAAUUUGGACUAAGAGAGUGGCAGCUCUAACAAUAUUUAAAGAUAAGGCUCACCACACCGAUCAGAAAUCUUUCCUUACACAGCACCCCGAAAAGAAAAAUUGUUAAAAUUUGAAGCUUCCUGUGAGUUUGAUGUAUGAAACUGUAAAUAAGUGCUAGGUAGGAGAAAACAACUGGGAAUAACGGAGAAGAAAAUAAUCAAUGUGCCCCUGACCUGGAUGCAGAGGCAGUACUAGCCUGUCAGCCAGAAAGAUCUUAUACUCUUGCUACGCAGCAAUUUGGGCAAGGCUGAAAGCAAUUAGUUCUCCCAGACCGAGGUGUCUAAUUACGGCUAUCUCUUACUUAGCAGGGUGAAAAACUUUAGCCUUACUGCAACAAUGUGAGGUGUUUUUCAUUUCACAAGAUAAGUCAUGGGUUUAUUGGCAUUACUGAUGGCUUGGAAUUCACCCUGAAUAUAGCUUACUGGGACCCAAUUUCAACUUAUCUACAACUUUUCAAGAACAUUUUCAAGGUAAUGGGAUACACUGUCACUUGUGCAUGGCGACCUAAAAUGUUGGUUAGCUAACUGCAUCUUCUCUUCUCUGGAGAGAUGUGAUGCAGGUGGGGAAGUGUGGAAAUGAGCAGUCACUCCACCCUGCUGAGUGAGAGGGGCCUCAUGAUGUAUCAUUGUGAGCCUUCCCUCAGCUUCUAGGAAAAACGUGGCCGGGCCAUACCUGUGGAGGUCUCCCUUGACAGAAGGAAGUCUAGAGUGCACCAUUUUGAAGUGUUCUAAACCUUUCUAUCUUCUCUACUAGAUUGAAUAACUUGAGGGAAAUAUAUUUCUCUUUCUUCUUUGGGCCUCCAGAGUAUAGCACAGUGCAUGCCAUGUGGCUGGUAUUUGAUAAAAGUCAAUUGAAAUGAAAACAGUCUCAUCCACGCGUGUUCCAAACUAGCUCCUCCCUAUCUGCUCACACACACCUGCUUUGGGCAUGAUAGGAAGUCAAAGUCUGUAAACUCUGACCUAUGGGGCCCCACAGAAUCUGUAAACCCUCCCCAGAACCUCUCUGAUACACCCCAUCCUCUUGUUCACAAUGUGCCAGUGGCACUGUCCUUGUGCAAACAUGCCAGGCCUGAUCCUCCCACAGCACGUCUAUCAUUGCUAUUCCCUCUGCCUGAAACACUCUUCCCUCAGAAACCCAUAAGGUUGGCUUUCCCAUUUCCUUCACAUCUGCACUCAAAACUCACUUUCUCAUGGAUGCCUUCCCUGUCCACCAGAUCUAAAUUUCACCCCCAAAGUAUUUUAUAUCCCCUUCCCUUUUUUUUUCUUCAUAGCACUUACAAUGAUCUUAUAUCCUAUAUAUUUACCUACUCAUAUUGUUUACCAACUGUCUCUGUACUAAAAUAUAAGCUCAACGAACCCACAAACUUUUGUCUGUUUCAUUCACUCCCCAGCACCUGGAAAGGUAUCUAAUAUGUGAUAGCUUUUUGAUAUAUAUUUAAUGAAUAAGUAAAUGAAUGAACAAAUUGGUAGCAGGCUAAUUUCCAAUCCAUGGGGGUAUUUCUCAAUGGUACUUUUUGGUAUAAGUGGAUACAGAGAGGAAGAAAGAUUGAAUGAAAGAUUUAUUAAUAGAGGUUCCCCCCCCACCCCCCAAGAUCUUGAUCUCACAUUCUGCCUGUUAAAGCAUCUGCAUUCUUGGGCUGCCUGGGUGGCUCAGUCGGUUGAGCAUCUGACUCUUGAUUUUUGGCUUAGGUCAUGAUCUCAGGGUCAUGAGAUCAAGCCCCAAAACUUAAGAUCUUAAGAGCUCUCAUAGCUUAAGAUUCACUCUCUCUCUCAAAAAAAAAAAAAAAAAAAAAAAAAA